RNAcentral lists this ribosomal RNA (447 nucleotides) under uncultured bacterium. RNAcentral describes it as "bacterial SSU rRNA". It matches the Rfam family "Bacterial small subunit ribosomal RNA", at positions 331 to 792 of the family's 1533-position model. The record is from RNAcentral.
CCAGACUCCUACGGGAGGCAGCAGUGGGGAAUAUUGGGCAAUGGGCGCAAGCCUGACCCAGCAACGCCGCGUGAAGGAAGAAGGCCCUCGGGUUGUAAACUUCUUUUAUCAAGGACGAAACAAAUGACGGUACUUGAUGAAUAAGCCACGGCUAACUACGUGCCAGCAGCCGCGGUAAUACGUAGGUGGCAAGCGUUAUCCGGAUUUACUGGGUGUAAAGGGCGUGUAGGCGGGACUGCAAGUCAGAUGUGAAAACCAUGGGCUCAACCCAUGGCCUGCAUUUGAAACUGUAGUUCUUGAGUGUUGGAGAGGCAGGCGGAAUUCCGUGUGUAGCGGUGAAAUGCGUAGAUAUACGGAGGAACACCAGUGGCGAAGGCGGCCUGCUGGACAAUAACUGACGCUGAGGCGCGAAAGCGUGGGGAGCAAACAGGAUUAGAUACCCCAGUA